GCUUGGGUGGCGGAAUUGGUAGACGCACAGGACUUAAAAUCCUGUGUCCGUAAGGGCGUGCGGGUUCGAUUCCCGCCCUAAGCACCA
RNAcentral lists this transfer RNA (87 nucleotides) under Acidobacteriota bacterium. RNAcentral's name for it is "Acidobacteria bacterium (soil metagenome) tRNA-Leu". It matches the Rfam family "tRNA". Rfam says of the family: Transfer RNA (tRNA) molecules are approximately 80 nucleotides in length. Their secondary structure includes four short double-helical elements and three loops (D, anti-codon, and T loops). The record is from RNAcentral. Lineage: Bacteria; Pseudomonadati; Acidobacteriota. RNAcentral also lists the same sequence under 2 other names.